ACGUAGGGUACAAGCGUUGUCCGGAAUUAUUGGGCGUAAAGAGCUCGUAGGUGGUCUGUCGCGUCUGCUGUGGAAACGCAACGCUCAACGUUGCGCGUGCAGUGGGUACGGGCGGACUGGAGUGCAGUAGGGGAGUCUGGAAUUCCUGGUGUAGCGGUGAAAUGCGCAGAUAUCAGGGGGAACACCGGUGGCGAAGGCGGGACUCUGGGCUGUAACUGACGCUGAGGAGCGAAAGCAUGGGGAGCGAACAG
This 251-nucleotide ribosomal RNA is filed under the name uncultured prokaryote. Its description in RNAcentral is "partial 16S ribosomal RNA". It matches the Rfam family "Bacterial small subunit ribosomal RNA", at positions 525 to 775 of the family's 1533-position model. The record is from RNAcentral.